Molecule: ribosomal RNA, 304 nt
Filed under: uncultured bacterium
Lineage: Bacteria
Description: partial 16S ribosomal RNA
Rfam family: Bacterial small subunit ribosomal RNA
Source: RNAcentral
CAGCAGUCGCCACGGGAAUACGGAGGGGGCUAGCGUUGUUCGGAAUUACUGGGCGUAAAGCGCACGUAGGCGGCUUGGUAAGUUAGAGGUGAAAGCCCGGAGCUCAACUCCGGAAUUGCCUUUAAGGCUGCCGAGCUAGUAGGUGAGAGAGGUAAGUGGAAUUCCGAGUGUAGAGGUGAAAUUCGUAGAGAUCGGGAGGAACAUCAGUGGCGAAGGCGGCCAUCUGGGACAACACUGACGCUGAGGCACGAAAGCGUGGGGAGCAAACAGGAUUAGAUACCCCGGUAGUCCCUGUCUCUUAUAC